UCCGUAGGCGGUGCGGCAAGUCGGAAGUGAAAUCUCUGGGCUUAACCCAGAGGCUGCUUCCGAAACUGCCGUGCUAGAGUGCGAGAGAGGCGAGUGGAAUUGCGGGUGUAGCGGUGAAAUGCGUAGAUAUCCGCAGGAACAUCCGAGGCGAAGGCGGCUCGCUGGAUCGCAACUGACGCUGAGGGACGAAAGCUAGGGGAGCAAACAGGAUUAGAUACCCUGGUAGUCCUAGCCCUAAACCAUCAGGACUUGGGGUUUGCCCUGUACGGGGCAGUCCCGUAGCUAACGCGUUAAGUCCUGCGCCUGGGGAGUACGGUCGCAAGGCUGA
RNAcentral lists this ribosomal RNA (328 nucleotides) under uncultured bacterium. Its description in RNAcentral is "bacterial SSU rRNA". It matches the Rfam family "Bacterial small subunit ribosomal RNA", at positions 568 to 897 of the family's 1533-position model. The record is from RNAcentral.